This 323-nucleotide long non-coding RNA is filed under the name Capsicum annuum. RNAcentral describes it as "long non-coding RNA (CANN_LNC019265)". Lineage: Eukaryota; Viridiplantae; Streptophyta; Magnoliopsida; Solanales; Solanaceae. The record is from RNAcentral.
UGGGGGUGUAUUCCUGUUAUGAUUCCGUAUUCAGUGUUUCGUGUUUCGUGUUCCAUGUUUAUUACGAAUCUGUGUGCUUUCCUCUGCUUUAUAUUCCUGCACUCCUGCUUUACUCUGUUUUAUAUUCCUUAUGGGUGCCGUAUUUAUGUUAUGUCAUCUGCUUCUGUGCUGUACUAUGUGUUUGUGUGAUAUCUCGUGACUUGAGCCGGAGGUCUUUCGGAAACAGCCUUUCUACUUCAUCAGAGGUAGAGGUAUGGACUGCGUACAUCUUACCCCCUCCAGACCCCACUAAGUGGGAAUACACUGGGUUUGUUGUUGUUGUU